This 1890-nucleotide ribosomal RNA is filed under the name Synechococcus sp. YX-04-1. RNAcentral's name for it is "partial 23S ribosomal RNA". It matches the Rfam family "Bacterial large subunit ribosomal RNA", at positions 1 to 1919 of the family's 2925-position model. Lineage: Bacteria; Bacillati; Cyanobacteriota; Cyanophyceae; Synechococcales; Synechococcaceae. The record is from RNAcentral.
GGUCAAGCUACAAAGGGCUCACGGCGGAUACCUUGGCACACAGAGGCGAUGAAGGACGUGGUUACCUGCGAUAAGUCCCGGGGAGCUGGAAGCACGCUUUGAUCCGGGAAUUUCCGAAUGGGGCAACCCUUAAUACGGCCAGCUGAAUCCAUAGGCUGGCACGAGCCAACCCAGCGAACUGAAACAUCUUAGUAGCUGGAGGAAAGGAAAGUAAAAACGACUCCCUAAGUAGCGGCGAGCGAACGGGGAAGAGCCUAAACCGAUACUUUCGAGUAUCGGGGUUGUGGGACAGCAACGUGUAUCAGGAAUGUUAGGAGAAGUGCUUGAAUGGCACGCCACAGAGGGUGAAAGCCCCGUAACCGAAAACUGAACUGAGCUAGCUGUAUCCCGAGUAGCACGGAGCACGUGAAAUUCCGUGUGAAUCCGCGAGGACCACCUCGUAAGGCUAAGUACUACUGUGUGACCGAUAGCGAAACAGUACCGCGAGGGAAAGGUGAAAAGAACCCCGGGAGGGGAGUGAAAUAGAACAUGAAACCGUGAGCCUACAAGCAAUGGGAGCCCUACUUAUAGGGUGACCGUGUGCCUGUUGAAGAAUGAGCCGGCGACUUAUAGGCACUGGCGGGUUAAACCGGAAAUGGUGGAGCCAUAGCGAAAGCGAGUCUGAAUAGGGCGUUUGUCAGUGUUUAUAGACCCGAACCCGGGUGAUCUAACCAUGGCCAGGAUGAAGCUUGGGUGAUACCAAGUGGAGGUCCGAACCGACUGACGUUGAAAAGUCAGCGGAUGAGCUGUGGUUAGGGGUGAAAUGCCAAUCGAACCCGGAGCUAGCUGGUUCUCCCCGAAAUACGUUGAGGCGUAGCGUCUCGUGCUCCAGCAGGGGGGUAAAGCCACCAUUUCGGUGCGGGCUGCGAGAGCGGUACCAAAUCGAGAUGAACUCUGAAUACCCUGUGUGUAGCGAGGCAGUCAGACUGUGGGGGAUAAGCUCCAUGGUCGAGAGGGAAACAGCCCAGACCGCCAGCUAAGGUCCCCAAAUCAACACUAAGUGAUAAAGGAGGUGGGAUUGCAUAGACAACCAGGAGGUUUGCCUAGAAGCAGCCAUCCUCAAAGGAGUGCGUAAUAGCUCACUGGUCGAGCGAUCCUGCGCCGAAAAUGAACGGGGCUAAGUGUUGUACCGAAGCUGCGGAUUUUAUGGUAGGGGAGCGUUCUAUGUGGGGCGAAGCGUUAGCGUGAGCGGGCGUGGACUGCAUAGAAGUGAGAAUGUCGGCUUGAGUAGCGAAAACAUGGGUGAGAAUCCCAUGCACCGAAACCCUAAGGGUUCCUCCGGCAGGCUCGUCCGCGGAGGGUUAGUCUGGACCUAAGGCGAGGCCGAAAGGCGUAGUCGAUGGAUAACAGGUCAACAUUCCUGUACCGGUCAUGUUUUGGGAAGAGGGACGGAGAAGGCUAGCCAAGCCAGAUGUUGGUUACUGGUUCAAGCGUUCGAGGCGUUGAGGAGCGGUGAAAACGUUCCGAGCUGAGGCGUGAGUACGAGCUGCUACGGCAGCGAAGUUGGUGACGUCAAGCUUCCAAGAAAAGCUCUAUACCCGUUAAGGCAUGACUGCCAGUACCCGAAACCGACACAGGUGGGGUGGUAGAGAAUACCGAGGUGCGCGAGGUAACUCUCUCUAAGGAACUCGGCAAAAUGGCCCCGUAACUUCGGGAGAAGGGGUGCCACCGCAAGGUGGUCGCAGUGAAGAGGCCCUGGCGACUGUUUACCAAAAACACAGGUCUCCGCUAAGUCGCAAGACGAUGUAUGGGGGCUGACGCCUGCCCAGUGCCAGUCAUGGCUGAAAUCACUGCAACCGUUCGUCCGACCCGUGAGGAGGUGGUUCCCUCCCGCAAGCGGGUGAAACUUCC